RNAcentral lists this transfer RNA (78 nucleotides) under Candidatus Bathyarchaeota archaeon. RNAcentral describes it as "tRNA-Pro". It matches the Rfam family "tRNA". From Rfam's summary of the family: Transfer RNA (tRNA) molecules are approximately 80 nucleotides in length. Their secondary structure includes four short double-helical elements and three loops (D, anti-codon, and T loops). Lineage: Archaea; Thermoproteati; Candidatus Bathyarchaeota. The record is from RNAcentral.
GGGGCCGUGGUCUAGCCAGGGUAUGACACCGGGGAUGGGACCCGAAUGUCGAGGGUUCAAAUCCUUCCGGCCCCACCA